AAAAAGACUCAGAAUAUUGUCAGAAAUUUCUGGAAGAGGAAGAAGAAGUAACCAUUAAUGUUACAAGCAAAGCAGGGGGAAUAAAAAAAUAUCAGGAAUACAUCCCAGUUCAGACUGGAGCACAUGCUGAUUUAAAUCCAUUUUACCAAAAGUACAGCAGCCGCACUCAGCAUGCUAUUCUAUACAUGAAUCCUCAUAAAAUCAACCUGGAUCUCAUUUUGGAACUUCUUGCAUACUUAGAUAAAAGUCCCCAAUUCAGAAAUAUUGAAGGAGCAGUAUUGAUCUUUUUACCAGGACUUGCUCAUAUUCAGCAGUUGUAUGAUCUUCUAUCAAAUGAUAGAAGAUUUUAUUCUGAACGUGUCUUCUAAAGAGAAACUCUUGCUAAGAACUAUGAUUUUAACUUUCAGAUAUAAAGUGAUAGCUCUGCAUUCUAUUCUUUCAACCCAAGAUCAAGCUGCAGCAUUCACACUUCCCCCUCCAGGAGUCAGGAAGAUUGUUUUAGCAACCAAUAUUGCAGAGACGGGUAUCACUAUUCCUGAUGUUGUAUUUGUAAUUGAUACUGGAAGAACAAAAGAAAAUAAGUACCAUGAAAGCAGUCAGAUGAGUUCUUUGGUGGAGACGUUUGUCAGUAAAGCCAGUGCUUUGCAGCGCCAGGGAAGAGCUGGGCGGGUCAGAGAUGGCUUCUGUUUCCGAAUGUACACAAGAGAAAGGUAUGGCAUAGCACUGGAAAUGUAAAACACAUAAACCAGUAUUGUGUGACAUUUCUGAUAAUAUGUAUUUAGUAUUACUUUAUUUUUCAGAUUUGAAGGCUUUAUGGAUUAUUCUGUUCCUGAAAUCUUACGUG
Molecule: long non-coding RNA, 844 nt
Filed under: Homo sapiens (human)
Lineage: Eukaryota; Metazoa; Chordata; Mammalia; Primates; Hominidae
Description: non-protein coding lnc-CCNO-2:1
Source: RNAcentral